CAGCGUCCAGAUCCAGCCGGCUCUCCCGUCCGUGCAUUGAGAAGUCAAAGGAAGACUCCCAGCAUGCUCCACCAGACACAGCUCGACCUUGUCCCCAAGAAGGCCGACUGACAGUCUUGUAUAGUAGAGAGGGACGAAACCAAGAAUAGUCUCUUCCUAGCUCCUGCGCGCAUCGGCCAUGGUUCAAGGCUUCAAUCUAGAUCUGUCGGAACUGAAUGGUGAUCAUCGUGUUGCAUCCAUUAUAUAGCUGGAGUGUCGAUCGGAUUGCGAGAGAGUUAUGGGGGCGGUGGCCGCUUCCGAGCAGAGGGCGAAGAAAACGAUGAAGGAAGCAUUAGAGGAGAUAGAGCCGCUCCCCUGGAGGAUGUCCGAACUGCUGCAGUACCAUAGCGGGCGGCGCCUCAGUGCUGCCGAUGACCGAAUAUUACAGAUUUUCCGGCUCGUUGUGGUCGAGCUGAGAGACAUCGCAGCAUCACUGGACCAGCUUCUGCCACUGCUGGAUCUCAGACCGUACCAUGUCGAGAACUAUGAGCUGUGGCUGCUCAAGUUGAGGAAUCUGGCUCGAUAUAUCGGGAACCACCUCGAUAAGUACGAGCGUUUCAUCACAAGAAAAGAACAGGAAACGUAUGUGCGAACUGCCUGCUUCCGUUGUGAUUCAGAGUUCCGGUUACCGCAUCCGGAUGUAACGCGACUCAUCGAGGAAGAGCUUUCCUGGAUCAACGGACAACCUUACAGGUACGAGCAUCUUAUGUUGGCCGGAGAUGACGAUAGUAUCCCCUUAAGUGGGAUGCCGCAGCUGCAACCCUACGCGACGGAGGCCGGGACCGUUGCACGCGGGGACCUUCUUGUUGGCAUCGAGAGCACCAGAAAGAAGCUGCUCAGGUGGUUCACGCCCGCCCAGGAAGACAACAUGGCUCUCAGUAUCGUGUCCAUGGUUGGACCCGCUGGGGUGGGGAAAACGGCUCUUGCCAAUGAGCUCUACCGACACCUCCAACAAAUCGGAGGUGAUGGACCCUACUUCGAGUGCUACGCUUUGGCCAAUGUGUCCCCGAGGCCUUGCAUCAAGGUGCUUCUGAGACACAUUCUCUGCCAGAUCGACAAACAAGCAGCUAUAGCACCAGCGUCGAUAUCCACGGGGACAUCCGAAAUCACCAUGUCAGAAGACGGCGAGGACCAGGAUGAGCAGGAGCUGGUUCGCAACAUUGAUCAGUACCUUCAAGACCGCAGGUACCUCAUCGUAAUUGACGAUCUUUGGAAAGAAUCCGAUUGGGAUAUCAUCAGCAGUGCUUUGCCACGUAAUAACAGAGGAAGUCGGAUAAUAGUAACUACACGAAUCAGGAGCGUGGCUUGGUACACAUGUUGUUCCAAUGGUCUGAUGCAUGAGGUUAAGCCUCUUAACGAGCUAGAUUCACAAAUGCUUCUGUUGCAAAGUGUUUUCGGCUCCAAGAACUAUUUGUGGCCAGACAAUUUGAAGCAAUCUCGUGAUGAAAUUUUGAGACGCUGUCAAGGUAUACCAUUCUUCAUAUCUGGUAUGGCUGACUGGUUGAGAGAACAAGAGGUCCAGAAAUUCUAUAGCAACGGUAGCCUGGACUGCCUGGUAGAAGAAGUUCCCCAAUUUCCCAGACUGCUCAAGCAAUUCGAACAAACAUUGUAUCCUACUUAUGAUGAUCUUCCAUACUGGUCGAAAGUAUUGCUGCUAUACAUGAGCAUGUUUCCUGAGGGUUAUAUGUUUAACAAGGAUAGUCUCAUUCGGAAAUGGAUCGCCAAAGGGCUGAGUGGUUCGUAUGAAGAAGCAGAGGCGUGUUUCUCCAUGCUUAUCGACAGGAACGUCGUCACGCGAGCAAUAAACAUUUGGGAGCCCACCACUCAAGUGGAGGAAAAUUGCCGUUGGCAAGUAAAUUAUUUCAUGCUGCAGUUCCUGGCUUACAGAUUGGAUGACAAGGGCUUUGCUUGUGCCAGCGGCAUGCGCUGCGCUUCUCCAGAAGCAAUGGGAAACAAGAAACUGCGGUGGUUGUCUGUAAACCAGCCUGACCGGGAGCUCGAAAUGCUUCUGAGUAGAAGAAGCAACCUUUCUCACUUCCACAACGCUCGUUCGUUAUCUAUAUCUGGUGCGGUGGACGACCUACUAUUCCCUCUUGAUAAGUUUAUCUAUCUGGUGGUGUUGGACCUUGAAGGUUGGCAGUGCUUCAAGGACGAAGACAUGUUGUUGAUAUGCAGCAGCAGGAUGCUCCUUCUCCGUUAUCUGAGCGUGAAGAAUACAAGAGUCCGCAAGCUCCCUGCCAAGAUCAAGGAGCUGCGCAGUUUGGAAACGUUGGACAUGAGCCACACAGAGGUCAGUGAGCUCCCAUCAGAAGCGUGCGAGCUGUCACGGUUGGAGAUGCUGGACCUAAGGAGCACGCCAGUCAGGCAGCUGCCGGAACAAAUCCGGAAGAUGCGGUCGAUGAGGCAUCUGCUCAUUGGCGAUUAUGGAGAUGGCCGCAACGGUGGAACGACAAUUCCCGAUGGGAUUGGGUGUCUCUUGGAUCUUCGUACUCUAGCAACCGUUCAUCUAAGCGUAUGCUCCGCAAGACUCGUAGAGGCGCUUGGUGGAAUGGAGAAACUAACAGAGUUGGCCAUAACAUGGUCUUUUCACCAGUGCUCCAACAGAAGAUACCAAGAAGCUCUGCACUGUUCCUUCCAAAAAUGGCGGGGGCUCAAGUCUCUGUCGAUCCAUGGCGGACAAGGUUCUUGCGUUGAGUUCCUAGAUUCUCUGCCUGAUCAAGGUCGGUCCAAUGAUCUUGAGAAAUUCAAGGUGACGGGUGGUGGAAGGUUCGUCAGGCUUCCACAAUGGUUCCAGGGGCUCGAUUGCCUUGCUUUUGUGGAGAUCACGGUUUUGAGGCUAGUGACAGAAGAUCUGAGUAUCCUAACGAACUUGCCGAGCUUGGAGCACCUUUCGCUCGGUCUGGACUUCCUCCCAGAGGAAGCAAUAGUGAUUGGCAGGGCUGGGUUCCGCAAGCUUGAGAGGUUGUGCAUUGGCUGCCGAUUCCCAUGGCUCACUUUCAGCCAAGGUGCCAUGCAGAGGUUAAGAUAUCUCGAGAUGAAGAUUGGCGGACACCCAGUGAGUCGAUCAGGCAGCGUUCUUGCGGGUAUCAACAACCUCUGCUCCGUGUCGGAGGUGUCCAUCCAUUACAACGUACGCUACAGCAACAACCGUGGUGUCAUCUUGACGAUUGAGACGGUGAGGAAGGAAGUAGCUGAGCAUCUGAACCCGAUCAGCGUAUUUGUCAACGGCAUACAAGAUCAAGAUGAGAAUUUUGAGGCAGUUGCAGGGAUCAGUGGCGAUGGGGGUGUUGAAGGGUUGCAUUAGGUCUCUACAUUUGCCGGCAUGGCCUGGUCAUUACCAGAAAUGACAGGUGUUUAACCGUGAAGUUUCCUCUUCUGUGAGUAUAGACCGGUGGCUGUGGUGCUUCAGUGGAAAGCCCUCCUACCAGCAAAGCGACGGGAAGCGGUCUCUAAGAUCUAAUUCAUCUUGCUGGUUGACCGAGCGGUUCGGAGUGGUGAGAUUGAUGUUCUUCGCUGUGGACUGUACGAGUCAUUUACCUGGAGCUUUUGUAAUGGCGCAGUCCCGCCUCUUCUAUGUUUUUGCUGUUACGAUGGUACAAAGGCCUAGGUCAGCUCUUCGUAUUCAGAAAAUAUCCUUCUAGUUAUCCGUUGCUUAUGUACACAAGCAGGUCAAUGCCCUGGCAAGGACAUCCUUUCUGUUUCUAGCAUGAUUUCCUUCACGCUUCUUUCUGUAAAAGAAAGAAAAUAACUCCAUGCCCGUCCGUAGCCAGAUUUCGUGGCAGUACUUGGUUGGCUUUCCAUAAACAGCUGGGAUGUAAGAGCAUCUAUAGCCACAUAGCUAAACCGGCGGACGCGACUGGCCGCGUCCGGCGAACAGAAGACAC
This 3923-nucleotide ribosomal RNA is filed under the name Triticum aestivum (bread wheat). RNAcentral's name for it is "partial small subunit ribosomal RNA". Lineage: Eukaryota; Viridiplantae; Streptophyta; Magnoliopsida; Poales; Poaceae. The record is from RNAcentral.